CGAGCAACAACAGGAAGGAGAACCUUUCACUGUUCCAAGGUUGAUGUUUGAUUAUGUGGAACUGGACUGCACAUUAGAAAAUUGAGAUUGAGCAGCUGCUUCUGGUACACUUUCAAUGACAUAAUAAAACCCAUCUGCCUCACAAAAGCCUCCCUCACUUUCAUCCACGGUCAGAAAACUGUGCUCCUUUUCCCUAGACCCACAGGAUAGAAGGACACCAUGGGAGCAACAGUGAGUGAAGUCAAGUCCCCACGUUCUUGGAACACACCUUCUGGAGAAGAGGAAUAACAACAGACUAGGCAAACAUAAAGAAAAAUGUAGCUUCAGAGACUAGAAAUGUUCAGCAAGGAAAGCAAACCAUGCCAAGGGGGGUGGUUAUAAACCAGAGUGUUGUUCUGAUUCCGAAAAUCUACUGUUUGAGCCUCAAUUAAAGACAUUUAGCAUUAUGAAC
RNAcentral lists this long non-coding RNA (451 nucleotides) under Mus pahari (shrew mouse). Its description in RNAcentral is "lncRNA (MGP_PahariEiJ_G0005550.1)". Lineage: Eukaryota; Metazoa; Chordata; Mammalia; Rodentia; Muridae. The record is from RNAcentral.